CCUACGGGUGGCAGCAGUGAGGAAUAUUGGUCAAUGGGAGGGAUCCUGAACCAGCCAUGUAGCGUGCAGGACGACUGCCCUACGAGUUGUAAACUUCUUUUGUACCGGAGUAAAAUGCUCCACGUGUAGGGUUUUGUAUGUACGGUAUGAAUAAGGAUCGGCUAACUCCGUGCCAGCAGCCGCGGUAAUACGGAGGAUCCGAGCGUUAUCCGGAUUUAUUGGGUUUAAAGGGUGCGUAGGUUGAUUUAUAAGUCAGUGGUGAAAGUCCGAUGCUCAACCGUAGAAUUGCAGUUAAUACUGUAGGACUAGAGAACAGAAGCAGCAGGCGGAAGUCGUGGUGUAGCGGUGAAAUGCAUAGAUAUUACGAAGAACUCCGAUUGCGAAGGCAGCUUACUGGGCGGCAACUGACACUGAGGCACGAAAGUGUGGGGAUCAAACAGGAUUAGAUACCCGGGUAGUC
This 460-nucleotide ribosomal RNA is filed under the name uncultured bacterium. RNAcentral describes it as "partial 16S ribosomal RNA". It matches the Rfam family "Bacterial small subunit ribosomal RNA", at positions 338 to 795 of the family's 1533-position model. The record is from RNAcentral.